This 920-nucleotide ribosomal RNA is filed under the name uncultured bacterium. RNAcentral describes it as "bacterial SSU rRNA". It matches the Rfam family "Bacterial small subunit ribosomal RNA", at positions 33 to 919 of the family's 1533-position model. The record is from RNAcentral.
ACGCUGGCGGCGUGCUUAACACAUGCAAGUCGAACGAAAAGACGGAAAGAGCUUGCUCUUUUCAGAAUUGAGUGGCAAACGGGUGAGUAACACGUAAACAACCUGCCUUCAGGAUGGGGACAACAGACGGAAACGACUGCUAAUACCGAAUAAGUUCCAAGAGCCGCAUGGCCCAUGGAAGAAAAGGUGGCCUCUACCUGUAAGCUAUCGCCUGAAGAGGGGUUUGCGUCUGAUUAGCUGGUUGGAGGGGUAACGGCCCACCAAGGCGACGAUCAGUAGCCGGUCUGAGAGGAUGAACGGCCACACUGGAACUGAGACACGGUCCAGACUCCUACGGGAGGCAGCAGUGGGGAAUCUUCCGCAAUGGGCGAAAGCCUGACGGAGCAACGCCGCGUGAGUGAUGACGGCCUUCGGGUUGUAAAACUCUGUGAUCCGGGACGAAAAGGCAGAGUGCGAAGAACAAACUGCAUUGACGGUACCGGAAAAGCAAGCCACGGCUAACUACGUGCCAGCAGCCGCGGUAAUACGUAGGUGGCAAGCGUUGUCCGGAAUUAUUGGGCGUAAAGCGCGCGCAGGCGGCUUCCCAAGUCCCUCUUAAAAGUGCGGGGCUUAACCCCGUGAUGGGAAGGAAACUGGGAAGCUGGAGUAUCGGAGAGGAAAGUGGAAUUCCUAGUGUAGCGGUGAAAUGCGUAGAGAUUAGGAAGAACACCGGUGGCGAAGGCGACUUUCUGGACGAAAACUGACGCUGAGGCGCGAAAGCGUGGGGAGCAAACAGGAUUAGAUACCCUGGUAGUCCACGCCGUAAACGAUGGAUACUAGGUGUAGGAGGUAUCGACCCCUCCUGUGCCGGAGUUAACGCAAUAAGUAUCCCGCCUGGGAAGUACGAUCGCAAGAUUAAAACUCAAAGGAAUUGACGGGGG